This 162-nucleotide ribosomal RNA is filed under the name Plukenetia chocoensis. RNAcentral's name for it is "Plukenetia cf. penninervia WMCM-2018 5.8S ribosomal RNA". It matches the Rfam family "5.8S ribosomal RNA". From Rfam's summary of the family: 5.8S ribosomal RNA (5.8S rRNA) is a component of the large subunit of the eukaryotic ribosome. It is transcribed by RNA polymerase I as part of the 45S precursor that also contains 18S and 28S rRNA. Lineage: Eukaryota; Viridiplantae; Streptophyta; Magnoliopsida; Malpighiales; Euphorbiaceae. The record is from RNAcentral.
AACGACUCUCGGCAACGGAUAUCUCGGCUCUCGCAUCGAUGAAGAACGCAGCAAAAUGCGAUACUUGGUGUGAAUUGCAGAAUCCCGUGAAUCAUCGAGUUUUUGAACGCAAGUUGCGCCCGAGGCCUUUCGGCCGAGGGCACGUCUGCCUGGGUGUCACGC